Molecule: non-coding RNA, 227 nt
Organism: Pelobates cultripes (western spadefoot toad)
Lineage: Eukaryota; Metazoa; Chordata; Amphibia; Anura; Pelobatidae
Source: the annotation of a GenBank genome assembly
CAGCCGUUAGCUUUGCAUGCUACUUUACCGACAAGAUUGAACAGGUAAGGAAAGACUUCUUCCCACCUUGCCAUUCUCUUUCGCAACCACACAUAGAUCAUGCCUUUCCUACACUUCAGACUUUCUCCCUGGCUACUGAACAAGAGGCGGCUGCGGUUCUCCUUUCCUCUCGCCCCACCACUUCCCCGCUCGAUCCUGUCCCAUCUCACCUUAUCAGAGCUCUCUCC